UACGUAGGGUGCAAGCGUUAUCCGGAAUUAUUGGGCGUAAAGAGCUCGUAGGCGGUUUGUCGCGUCUGCUGUGAAAACUGGGGGCUCAACCCCAGCCUGCAGUGGGUACGGGCAGACUAGAGUGCGGUAGGGAGAUUGGAAUUCCUGGUGUAGCGGUGGAAUGCGCAGAUAUCAGGAGGAACACCGAUGGCGAGGCAGAUCUCUGGGCCGUAACUGACGCUGAGGAGCGAAAGCAUGGGAGCAACAGG
Molecule: ribosomal RNA, 248 nt
Filed under: uncultured bacterium
Lineage: Bacteria
Description: partial 16S ribosomal RNA
Rfam family: Bacterial small subunit ribosomal RNA
Source: RNAcentral